UCAAGUUUUUAAGGGCACACGGUGGAUGCCUUGGCACCAGGAACCGAAGAAGGACGUAGGAAUCUGCGAUAAGCCUCGGGGAGUCGAUAACCAGACUGUGAUCCGAGGAUUUCCGAAUGGGGAAACCCGGCUGGAGGCAAGUCCAGUCACCCCUACCUGAACACAUAGGGUAGGUGGAGGGAACGUGGGGAAGUGAAACAUCUCAGUACCCACAGGAAGAGAAAGCAACCGCGAUUCCGUGAGUAGUGGCGAGCGAAAGCGGAAGAGGCUAAACCGUACAUGUGAAAUAGCUGUCAGGCGUUGCAUGUACGGGGUCGUGGGACCUCUUGGUCGGCUCUGACAGGCCGGCAUGGAGUCAAAAAUUCGCGUUAUAGUCGAAGGGCAUUGAAAGGCCCGGCACAGAGGGUGCUACCCCCGUAGACGAAAUGACGCGAACUCCAUAGAGACAUCCCAAGUAGCACGGGGCCCGAGAAAUCCCGUGUGAAUCUGGCGGGACCACCCGCUAAGCCUAAAUAUUCCCUGGUGACCGAUAGCGGACAAGUACCGUGAGGGAAAGGUGAAAAGUACCCCGGGAGGGGAGUGAAAUAGUACCUGAAACCGGUCGCCUACAAUCCGUCGGAGCCUCUUUGUGGGGUGACGGCGUGCCUUUUGAAGAAUGAGCCUGCGAGUUAGUGGUACGUGGCGAGGUUAACCCGUGUGGGGAAGCCGUAGCGAAAGCGAGUCCGAAUAGGGCGUUUUAGUCGCGUGCUCUAGACCCGAAGCGAAGUGAUCUAUCCAUGGCCAGGGUGAAGCGACGGUAAGACGUCGUGGAGGCCCGAACUCACUUGGGUUGAAAACCGAGGAGAUGAGCUGUGGAUAGGGGUGAAAGGCCAAUCAAACUCCGUGAUAGCUGGUUCUCCCCGAAAUGCAUUUAGGUGCAGCGUCACGUGUUUCUUACCGGAGGUAGAGCUACUGGAUAGCCGAUGGGCCCCACCAGGUUACUGACGUUAGCCAAACUCCGAAUGCCGGUAAGUGAGAGCGUGGCAGUGAGACUGCGGGGGAUAAGCUCCGUAGUCGAGAGGGAAACAGCCCAGAUCACCAGCUAAGGUCCCUAAGCGUGUGCUAAGUGGGAAAGGAUGUGGAGUUGCAUUGACAACCAGGAGGUUGGCUUAGAAGCAGCCACCCUUUAAAGAGUGCGUAAUAGCUCACUGGUCAAGUGAUUCCGCGCCGACAAUGUAGCGGGGCUCAAGCACACCACCGAAGCUGUGGCAUUGACACUUUGCCCGGCCGUGUCCUUCGGGGCGCGGUCCAAGCGUGUUGAUGGGUAGGGGAGCGUCGUGUGGCGAGUGAAGCGGCGGAGUGAUCCAGCCGUGGACGCCACACGAGUGAGAAUGCAGGCAUGAGUAGCGAAUGACGGGUGAGAAACCCGUCCGCCGAAUAUCCAAGGGUUCCAGGGUCAAGCUAAUCUGCCCUGGGUAAGUCGGGACCUAAGGCGAGGCCGACAGGCGUAGUCGAUGGACAUCCGGUUGAUAUUCCGGAACCGGCGAAGAACCGCCCAUACCGAACCACGUAAUGCUAAGCGCCUGAAGUGUGGCACCGUCUUCGGAUGGUUCCACAUGGAGCGCGCGACCCUAGCGUGUAGUAGGUAAGCGAUGGAGAGACGCAGGAAGGUAGCCGAACCGCGGCGAUGGUAGACCGCGGGUAAGGAUGUAGGGCGAGGUGUAGGCAAAUCCGCACCUCAUGUGCCUGAGAUCUGACACGGACCCGUACAGGGGAAGUCGGUGAUCCUAUGCUGCCAAGAAAAUCUUCUAGCGAGGUUCGAGCCGCCCGUACCCCAAACCGACUCAGGUGGUUAGGUAGAGAAUACCAAGGCGAUCGAGUGAAUCGUGGUUAAGGAAUUCGGCAAAAUACCCCCGUAACUUCGGGAGAAGGGGGGCCCUGAUCGUGACGGCACUUGCUGCCCGAGCGUGAUCGGCCGCAGAGACCAGGGAGAAGCGACUGUUUACUAAAAACACAGGUCCGUGCCAAGUCGCAAGACGAUGUAUACGGACUGACGCCUGCCCGGUGCUGGAACGUUAAGGGGACCGGUUAGCCUCACGGCGAAGCUGAGAACUUAAGCGCCAGUAAACGGCGGUGGUAACUAUAACCAUCCUAAGGUAGCGAAAUUCCUUGUCGGGUAAGUUCCGACCUGCACGAAUGGCGUAA
This 2184-nucleotide ribosomal RNA is filed under the name metagenome. RNAcentral's name for it is "bacterial LSU rRNA". It matches the Rfam family "Bacterial large subunit ribosomal RNA", at positions 3 to 2004 of the family's 2925-position model. The record is from RNAcentral.